GGUUAAGCGACUAAGCGUACACGGUGGAUGCCCUGGCAGUCAGAGGCGAUGAAGGACGUGCUAAUCUGCGAUAAGCGUCGGUAAGGUGAUAUGAACCGUUAUAACCGGCGAUUUCCGAAUGGGGAAACCCAGUGUGUUUCGACACACUAUCAUUAACUGAAUCCAUAGGUUAAUGAGGCGAACCGGGGGAACUGAAACAUCUAAGUACCCCGAGGAAAAGAAAUCAACCGAGAUUCCCCCAGUAGCGGCGAGCGAACGGGGAGGAGCCCAGAGCCUGAAUCAGUGUGUGUGUUAGUGGAAGCGUCUGGAAAGGCGCGCGAUACAGGGUGACAGCCCCGUACACAAAAAUGCACAUGCUGUGAGCUCGAUGAGUAGGGCGGGACACGUGGUAUCCUGUCUGAAUAUGGGGGGACCAUCCUCCAAGGCUAAAUACUCCUGACUGACCGAUAGUGAACCAGUACCGUGAGGGAAAGGCGAAAAGAACCCCGGCGAGGGGAGUGAAAAAGAACCUGAAACCGUGUACGUACAAGCAGUGGGAGCACGCUUAGGCGUGUGACUGCGUACCUUUUGUAUAAUGGGUCAGCGACUUAUAUUCUGUAGCAAGGUUAACCGAAUAGGGGAGCCGAAGGGAAACCGAGUC
This 640-nucleotide ribosomal RNA is filed under the name Escherichia coli. Its description in RNAcentral is "partial 23S ribosomal RNA". It matches the Rfam family "Bacterial large subunit ribosomal RNA", at positions 1 to 683 of the family's 2925-position model. Lineage: Bacteria; Pseudomonadati; Pseudomonadota; Gammaproteobacteria; Enterobacterales; Enterobacteriaceae. The record is from RNAcentral.